GCAGAAAUGCUAAGAGAAAUCCAUCAGUUACGGAAGCACACUGCAAAAGAAACUUUGUUCAGUUUUGAGAGUAUCAGCUCUCACUUGUACGUUGAAAACUGAAUAUCUUAAUUCCAAGAAAAAACCGAGAAUCAUUGAGAUCAAUGAAAACAUUGCAAAGCGACCGAGAGAGUUCGAAAGAACAAACUUGCAAGGUCAAGUGAAGAAGGGCGCACGGUGAAUGCCUUGGCACUGGAAGCCGAUGAAGGACGCGACUAACCGCGAAAGUCUUCGGGGAGCCGUAAGUAGGCUUUGAUCCGGAGGUCUCCGAAUGGGGGAACCCAGCAUGUGCAGACAUGCUAUCCUUAAGUGAAUACAUAGCUUAAGGAAGGAACACGCAGUGAACUGAAACAUCUAAGUA
This 400-nucleotide unclassified non-coding RNA is filed under the name Lactobacillus delbrueckii subsp. bulgaricus. RNAcentral describes it as "partial contains 16S-23S ribosomal RNA intergenic spacer and 23S ribosomal RNA". The stretch from base 194 to 400 matches the Rfam family "Bacterial large subunit ribosomal RNA", at positions 1 to 208 of the family's 2925-position model. Lineage: Bacteria; Bacillati; Bacillota; Bacilli; Lactobacillales; Lactobacillaceae. The record is from RNAcentral.